Unclassified non-coding RNA from Microcebus murinus (gray mouse lemur), 90 nucleotides. It matches the Rfam family "Y RNA". From Rfam's summary of the family: Y RNAs are components of the Ro ribonucleoprotein particle (Ro RNP), in association with Ro60 and La proteins. The Y RNAs and Ro60 and La proteins are well conserved, but the function of the Ro RNP is not known. In humans the RNA component can be one of four small RNAs -- hY1, hY3, hY4 and hY5. NCBI's taxonomy places the organism in Eukaryota, Metazoa, Chordata, Mammalia, Primates, Cheirogaleidae. The record is from Ensembl.
GGCUAGUCUGAGUGCAUUGUGCUUAUAACUAAUUGAUCACAGCCAGUUACAGAUUCUUCGAUUCCCACUGCUUCACUUGACUAGCCUAAU